Molecule: long non-coding RNA, 1282 nt
Filed under: Homo sapiens (human)
Lineage: Eukaryota; Metazoa; Chordata; Mammalia; Primates; Hominidae
Description: HSALNT0371380
Source: RNAcentral
ACAGAGACUGAAAAUAAGAAAGGGGUGAGGCCUAAGGGACAAUCAGGAUGUUUUUCAGAGAGAAGUGUGGAUGCUGGACAGGAAGAACCACAGAUACCAGAUACGGGACAUACUUUAUUCAGCUGGGUGCUGAAAAAGAAUCUUGGAAAUUAGGAAACUGAAUGAGGCCUCAUUUCACACUCAGAAUGUGGGUUGCAAUAGUCACUUCCUCUGCUGCUGGGAAAGAAAGAAUUAUACUACCUUUUGAAUUUUGGAUUAAGGAGAGAGGUGUUGGCUUGUCAAACUACCAUGUAUUCCUCAAGACAUAUUUUUGUGGCUUUAUAAAAUUCAAUAUAUAUGUCUAAAUUCAAAAAUAUUUUGUUGCAAUCUGGCCCUUGGACAAACUGAGGCCCUAGCAACUGAUGUUUAUGGCUUUCCGUAGAACCUUUCAGAUAAAAUUUACACAGCAUUUUACUGCAGCUAUUUCACACAAAGCAGAGGAUUUUGCCACAAAACUGAAAGAAAAAAGAAACUGCAUUCUUAAAUUUUUCAUAAAUCAAAAGGUAUAAAAAUAUCUACCUAAACGAUAAAGGAGAUGAGAAACCCCACCCAUGAUGGGAAGAAAGCCUAUUUCAGUUUUGCCUUUACUUCAAGUUCUUUUUUCCAUAUCUGGAAUGCAAUCAGAAUUUUAAUCUUGCCUUGGGUUCCUCCUGGAUUUGGGGAGAAGACAAAACCUGAAAAUCUCUAAUCUGCAUGUGUUCAGCUGCGUAUCUUCUGGAUACGGAAGGAUCACACUGCACAGAGUGCUGGACUUGCAGGAGCCCCGCUUCUCAACCUCCAUCGCUUUAUGAAUGAAUUCACCAGAAAGGAAGAAUCAACACUUUCAGAGAUGGAGCCUGUUGAGCCACAGUACCAACUAGUCAAUGCUGAAUCGACUUCUCCCUUUCUACAUUGCCUGAGAGAAGUCAUUGGGGAAUACUCUAGAGUCAAGGGAUUGGAUUGUGGAUUGCAUUGGUGGUUUUCCUCAGUUUCCUCAUCUUCUCCACAAGUUUCUACAUAUCGAAUGCAGAGCAGCCCUUCUUCAAAGGACCUCCUACGGAAGCUGCUAAGGAACUCAGUCUGUAGCUCUGCGUGGAGCCAUGUGUAAACACUGAACUGAGACCUGCCACCUCCUACUACCUAAGGGCCCAUUUUCAUCUGAUAUCAUCCCCCAGAAACAAACUCAUGAUGACUUCCAUGUUUUUUUUAGAUUAGAUACAUGGAGAAUUUUCCUUUCCCUUAGAAUUAAAAUCCUGCAUUCUAA